GAUCAACCAUGCAUCCAUAAUGCUUAACGUUGGGUUCUAUCUUGUGCUCCUGAAUCAUGGAACUAAAAUGUUGGCGCCCCUCAUCUACUAAACCCAUGUGUCUACAAGCUCCAAGAACUGCCAUAAAGGAUAUCUCAUUAGGCAGCACGCCACAUUCCUUCAUCUCUGAAAAUGCAUCGAGUGACUUGUCAACUGUACCAUUCAUUGCGAGACCAAGAAUGAGAGCAUUCCAAGUAGAAACCCCUUUUUCCUGCAUCCCAUGGAAAACUUCCAAAGCAUUUUCAACACACCCAAAUUUCAUGUACAUAUCUAUAAGGGUAGUACCCAGAAUGACAUUAAUCUUCAGGCCAUUCUUCCUUACAUAAGCAUGGAUCCAUUUUCCUUGGUCAAGUGCAGCCAAGUGGGUGCAAGCAGAUAUUACACUUACCAAAGUCGUCUCAUCAGGCUUAAUUCCAUCAAGCUGCAUUUCCUGAAACAACGCCAAAGUAUCAGCAAAUCUGUCAUGUUGAGCAUAACCUGAUAUCAUAGCACUCCAUGACACAAUAUCCUUCUCAGGCAUUGAAUCAAAUAAAGCCUUGGCCUUUUCGACCUCACUACAUUUCAAGUACCCAGAGAUCAUAGAAUUCCAAGAAACCAGGUCCAAGCAGCAACCCCCGUUAAACAACUUUUGGGCAGCCUCUACUUCCCCACAACUUGAAUACAUGUGAAUCAAAGCAUUAUGAAGGUUAACAUAAGAUUCAAUUCCAAUUUUGACAGCCAAACUGUGAAUCAAUUUCCCUGUCCUCACUACCAACAAGUGAGCACAUGCUGAAAGAACACUGAUUACCACAACCUCAUCCAACGUAAUUCCAUCAGCUUUCAUUUGCUGAAACAUAAUCAAAGCCUGCUCAUGCAUUUGAUUUUGCUCAUAGCAAGAAAUCAAAGCGCUCCACGAUACCAUAUCUUUUUUAUGCAUUUCACUGAAUAACCUAUACGCAUCAGCAACAUUACCUUUUUUACCAUACAACACAAUCAUCGAAUUUGAAGCAAUAAUGUUCCUUGCCGGCAUCCUAUCGUAUAUAUACUUAGCCUCCUCCACAUCCCAUAUCGAAACAUAACCAGCCAAGAUUGAAUUCCAAGAAACUAUGUCCACAACAGGACUUUGGUCAAACACUUUACGCGCGUCGCUCAAGUUCCCACAAACAGCAUACAUGUUUAUCAACGUGUUCUGUACAUAAACAUCUGAAUCAAAACCCAUUUUCAGAACAUGACAGUGAAUCAGUUUCCCUUCAAACUCCGCUAGUCUAAGAGAGCAAGACUGAACUAAAAUAGGGUAAGUGUAAUUAUCAGGUUCAACAGUCUCUUGCAACAUCAAUUUAUAUAUACCGAGAGAAUUAUGUGUAGCGUUUCUUUGAACAUAAGCUCUCAUCAUGGUGUUAUAAAUGAACCCAUUUGGAUUCUCAAUGCAAGUGAAGAUUUGAUGGGAGCGGUUGAUGUAAAUGAAGGGUGAAUCGGUGGAGAACUUGAGGAGUCUGCUUGCUGCAAACGUGUCUCGGAGGAACCCAGUGAGGAUCAUUUGAGAAAGGAUUUGACUGAAUUGCUUGAGGUUUCGGCAUCGGAGCAAACAAGUCUCCAAUAUUGGGAGAGUUAAGGUUAGAUUUAGGGUGGGUGUUAGACGUUUGGACAAAUUCAUAGACACAGCGGAAUCAAUACUUGAAAAAACCAGAGACUAAACCGCUUUUUGUUUCAAAUACAUCAAAAUCUUGCUAAUUUUUCUAAGAAAUAGGGAUUAAAACGAAUUUUUGUGGGAAAGGUUAAGGACUUUUUUGUAAUUACCCACCCCAUAUGAGUGGGCUCACUUUUCGCCAAUUGUCUGUCUUCCUUCACUCCGUUUCUCAGUCUCUGCAACUUCUCUCUCUCUACUCUCCCUCUUCCAUCCUUGUUAAAACCGGCUGCACAGAUUCCAUUUUUCUCUCAUAAACCCUAACACUAACAAUGGCCCCCAAAUCCAGCAACUCCAAAUGCAAAACCCCGCAAGACCUCCACUUCAAGCCUGGCUCCAUCGUCGAGAUCAGCUCCGACGACGAUGGAUUCCGUGGCUCCUGGUAUGUGGGCACCAUCAUCCGCCGUGCCUCCACUAAGAACCCUAAUAAAUACCUUGUCCAGUACGAGAAACUAUUCAAUGACAAAGCGGGCAAGAAACCUUUAAGGGAAAUUCUUGAUUUAGUGCAGUUGAGGCCUGUGGCGCCAAGGGAGAAACAAAGGAAGUUUAAGUUCGGCGAGAAAGUGGAUGCAUACCAUAAUGAUGGGUGGUGGGAAGGAUCCAUUACUGAAGAGUGUGAGGAUGGGAGGUUUGCUGUGUUUUUUAGGGGGACGAGAGAGCAGAUUGUGUUUGGAGAGGAGGAUUUGAGGUUGCAUAGGGAGUGGGAUAAUGGGGAAUGGCAACCGUCAUUGGAACGGGUCCAAGAAGAGAAACAGGAAGAGAAUGAGGAAGAGGACGAGGUAAAAGAGGAAAAAAAGAAAGACAAGUUGAAGGAAGAAGUGGAACCAAUGAUUACCAAAGAAGUGAAGCCUAUUGAAGCAAUGACAGAGGAGAAGGUUAGCAAGGGAAUGCUGGUUGAGGAAACACUGAUUUUAAAAGAAGUGAAGCCUAUCGAAGCAAUGUCAGACGAGAAGUUUAGCAAGGGAAUGCCAGUUGAGGUUAGUAGUGAUGAAGAAGGUUUUGAAGGUGCUUGGUUUGCUGCAACUAUUGUUGAAGUGGUCGGAAAGGAUAAGUACCUUAUCGAGUACCAGAGCUUGAGAACAGAAGAUGAUAGUGAUUUUCUAAGAGAGGAGGUUGACAUUCUGCACAUAAGGCCCCGUCCCCCAGAAACCAUAGUUGUUGAUCGUUUUAAAUUGCUGGAUGAAGUUGAUGCUUCAUACAAUGACGGUUGGUGGGUGGGUGUUAUUGCUAAGGUUCUUGCUGACUCAAAGUACAUAGUCUACUUUAGGGACAGCGAGGAGGAAAUGAUGUUUCGACACUCUGAAUUAAGGCUGCAUCAGGAUUGGAUCGGUGGUGAAUGGAUCUUGCCUUCAUUGGUAUGACAUGGAUAUUUUAACAAAUUUUGUUGUUGAUGACGAUUGUUUAGACUGGUGUUAGCAGAGAAUUUUUGGAACUUAAUAAUUUUAUAGAUAAUGACAAAUUCUAGGGCUCAGAUGAUUUUAUUAAACUUGUAGGUUUUGCCGCAAAUUGCAAUUCAGACUAGUUGAAAACUGGGGUAUAGUGCAAACAUAAGAAUUUAAAAUGAUGCAACAUAAGUGGUAACUAUUUGGAGUUCACUGAAAGCUAUCUUCUUCAGUUGGUUGCUGGUAGUGUUUCACAAGUAUUCAAAAAACCAUGCAUGUCUAUGGAGAUGAAAUUACUGCUGUUUGAUGCAUGGUAGAUACCAAACUGCAUACUUGGUUGACAGCCUUAAUCUAUGAGAAUAACUAGAUUAAUGUAUGCCUCAGUGAGUGUUUAGUGGGUUAGGUUAUUAACAUAAUGCUUCUUUGUUCUGUAGCCCUACCUAUGAUAAUAACUUUUGUUCAUACAUGUCUUAGUGAUUGGCAGGUUGGUGAUGUAAUUUCAUGAUGUAACUUAGUUUUAACACCACACCAUUCUUUCUGAAGUUUAGUUUUUAUUCUGGACACUAACAGUGAGUACAAACUUAUAGUUCUCUCUGAUUGUAAAUAUGUGCUUGUAAUGUGAAUUUGUCUCAGGCUGUGAAGCUGUGAUUUCUGGAGAAACUUCAAGGGAUUUGCUAUGAAAAUCUGCAGCAUGACUGUGCAGAUAUUAGCAUCCAAUUCCACAUUGCAUUCUUUGGUAGUUGUGGAUACCAAAUUUUCCCAGCUUUGUUGCCUGACAAUUUGCACAUCCUUGGCUGAUUGCCUGCUAAUCUAGUAUUAGACUUGUGUUGAUUCCUUUUAGACUCGGGGCCUUCUAGUGCAGCCUCAAACUGCUUCAUUGAAUCCAAAAACAAAAAAAAAAAUUGUUAGUCCAGUGCUUCUAGUUAAAUUGUAAAAUUGUCACCGGAAUGAAAUUUCAAGUUUCUUUGCUCAUGGAGGGGAAUUAUCUUUCACUUUGUUCUUAUUGUGUCGUUUUCGAAAUGUACUAGCUCCUUGAAAGUCUUAAGUGCAUGCCAUUGAUUAAUUAUGCAUCUUUAGCUGCAUCAAAUAUGUCUCCCUUGUUUUCUUAAAUACUUUUUGAAUGAUUUCUCAACCAAGG
RNAcentral lists this unclassified non-coding RNA (4222 nucleotides) under Hevea brasiliensis (rubber tree). The record is from RNAcentral. Lineage: Eukaryota; Viridiplantae; Streptophyta; Magnoliopsida; Malpighiales; Euphorbiaceae.